Molecule: long non-coding RNA, 1092 nt
Filed under: Capra hircus (goat)
Lineage: Eukaryota; Metazoa; Chordata; Mammalia; Artiodactyla; Bovidae
Description: lncRNA (ENSCHIG00000000541.1)
Source: RNAcentral
AUGGCUCUUUUCCAGGGGACUAGAGAAGCUGGAUCCUGGUCAUUUCUAGGAAGGCAUCACUGUUCAAGAGAUCUGGGGCGGCAACACCAUCCUCUGCCCCCAGGCCUGCUGAGCCAGGUGGGCAGAGGCCUCUGCUCAGCCCACUCGCCUCUUCCCUGCCGCCGCCUGAGGCUACAGCGUGAAAGUGGUGGGCAGUGGUCGUCAGGAUCCAGAGAAAGCAAGAUGCGGGCCCUGCAGCCGGGCGGCAGGUCGCCGUGUCCCAGCCUCAGCCCUGACCACACCGCAGACCUGAGACCGGAACCCAGGCCCCCGUGGCUCUGGGGCCCCGACGCGGAGAGGCCCUCUACCCAGAGUCAGGAACUGGACCUGCGUCUCCUGUGUGGCAGGUGGAGUCUUCACCAGCUGAGCCACCAAGGUGCUGUUCCUCAAUCCCCUCAGCAAAUCCUGGCGCCCACCUGUAAGCAGAAGCCGGGGCUGGAUGGGAGGAGAGCCACAGCAGAGAAAAAAAGAGGAACUCCCACGCCGUCAGCCCUGGGUUGUCAGCAGAACUAGCACCUUCCUCGGGGCCUUGGGAGAGCGGCCUGGGAGAAGGCCCCGGACGCUCUCCUCCUGGGACACUUGAUGAGCAGCGGGGCUGCCUUCCUCCCAGGGUUGGCCUCUGUCCUUCCAGAAGAUGAGCAGCAAUUUUGAACCCUGCCUGUCCUCGCCAACCACCCGGGUGGCUCUGCAAUCCCAUGGCCCUGGUCGUAUCAGACCAACUGGGUCCAAACCUCCGUGAGUGGGACCCCAGGGCCAGUGUUUGUAUUUAAUGCUUUCUAGGGGGUUCCAAUGUCCAGCCAAGGUCGAGAGACACCGAGUCAGCGCCUUGUCUGGGCGGCCCUGUAUUUUAGUGGCGGCUCAGCACGCGAGACAGAAGAAGCGUUCAACGGCAAGAUAUCUGUCUGUGGGUCAACAGUAGGAUGUGGGAUGAGCGCUCAAUUACUUGGUUGUUUUCGAAGAGUCUGGAAAGAAAGGGAACCAUAUUCCCGUGGCAGCAGCUUAACUCUAGCGGUCAGUGUGGAGAUUCUAAUUCGGGCAGACCUGACUUCAAGU